AUGAAUUAAAAGCACUAUAAUUUAUGUGUAGUAAAACGGUCUGUAGUCCAAAUCAAAUAUAGAUGAAGAACAAAUAUUUUUUUUUUUCGACAAAAACCUGAAAAAUUCUAUAGCACUGUAACAAUAACUCUGGAGAUAAUUUUUGUAUAUUUAGAGAGCAAGAGAGAGUAUAUUUUUCGUUUAUCAAUAAAAUAAAACAAAUAAAUGAAAGAGCUAAUUACUUUACAAAGAACAUGAGCAAAGAGCUAGAGAAUUAGUAAAACAAGAGUAGGUUAAAGCAAAUGAGAGAGAGAAUAUAACUCGCUACACGCAGAGAAAAACAAGAAACUCGUUUUUAGUUCGGUUAUUUUUAUUUUUCAAGUUUAUAGUGGUGGAAAUAUGUACUAUGUAUGUAUAUAAUAACGACAUUGCUGGUACAUAUGUUUUUGUGAUUUUUUCGAUGUUCCGUUGAGUAAAUGUACGUUUAAAAUUUUUAGUCUUUAGCUGCUAUGCCAGCAGCUCUCUACAAAAAAUCAACGAUAAAAAGCUGGGUCUGUGAACGAUGAUGAACGAAUAUAAAAACGGCGUGGUCGCCAUUUAUUUUAUAUUUUUUUAUUGUUGUUGUAUUCGUUCCAUACGUAAGACAAAAAAAAAUAACACAAAAAAGAAGAAGCAGCACUAGUAGAAACAUACAGAAGAAGAACCAACAAGAAAAAAAAAACAAUAAAACAGCCGUAUAAUAAACAUAAUAUACAUGUACAUUUUUUGUUUGUACAUACAUAUAUUGAAAUUCUUUUGUUUUGGUCUCAUUCCCCUGCUACUCCUCCUGGUCAUUUUCUUGUACAUAUCGCUUUUACUCAAAUACUGUGCAAUAUUAUUAUUAUGAUGAUGAUGAUAUAGAAAACGCAUUUCGAGGGUUUUAUAAGUAAUUUUCGCUUUUUUCUAGUGUAAUAAUAAUGUAUAUAUAUUGAAAAACAGAGGAUGAUGAAUAAGAGGAAGAGGAGCUCUAGGUUUAUGGUGCUGACAACGGAGUGAGGUGAGCAGUGGUGGAGUAAGCAAAGAAAUUGUUGUAUAAAAUAACAACAACAAAACGACAUAAAGAGAUUUUGUUCAAAUAGUCAAAUGAAGAAAAAAUAAUAUUUUAGCGGAGCGCACUUACGACACACAACUGGCAACGAACGACAACGAACACAACGUCGUCGCAAGUGCUACAGCCAUUUUGUACUUUGCAUUCACAUGAAGAAAUUGUAUGGCGAUUAACUGAAUCUAAGGUUUUCAGCAAAUCAGCCAAGGCACAGGGUUGUAACAAAACGUACUAUGCUGAAUUACUAACUAAUCAAACAAGAAAAAAAAGUAAGUAGUACUUAAUAACACAAAAUAAUGUAAUGUAAUAAUUAUGCCAUCAAAAACAACCCCCAAAUAUUUAAUAUAAAAUACAAAGAAUAUUUAUUUCUAGUAGAAUUUUAUGGUUUUUUUAUAAUUAAAUUUAAGUCAAUAAUAAAAAAAAAUCACUAUAAAUCUCUAUAAUUUAUGUCUAAAAAAAAUAUAAAUCAAAAUACUUUAGUGUAAUUAAUAGCAUUAAAAAAACCCACCGUACUUAUCAAUCAAUCAAUAAUAUUUUACAAUAUUAUACCACAGAUAUGUAUUAACUGAUUUUAAAUAAAUAUUUCUUUAUACAACCGCACAAAA
Calliphora vicina (urban bluebottle blowfly) is the source of this 1668-nucleotide long non-coding RNA. RefSeq lists it as uncharacterized. The record is from RefSeq and is a predicted model, not a curated record. Lineage: Eukaryota; Metazoa; Arthropoda; Insecta; Diptera; Calliphoridae. The transcript has 2 exons.